Molecule: long non-coding RNA, 558 nt
Organism: Haplochromis burtoni (Burton's mouthbrooder)
Lineage: Eukaryota; Metazoa; Chordata; Actinopteri; Cichliformes; Cichlidae
Exons: 3
Source: RefSeq, a predicted model, not a curated record
UUGCUUCUUACUGUCUUUGAGGCUCGGGACCAGCAGUCCUGUUGUUGGAUAGAAAGACAUCAACUCAGUGACUUGAGAUAUGGCUGCACUAUGCUGUUUCUGGUGACUCCAGUUAAUUCUACAAGACAUGCUGUGACACCAGGAGAGAUGAGUCCUCCGUCACAGAUGGUGUGGUCAGUGAAGAUGGUCGCCUGCAGGUUCAAGCUCAUUGCAUCUCCAAUCCACAUCCACUGCCACUGUACUUAAACCUGUUAGCAGUCGGACGUACCGCCCACGGUACAUUGGAUGGUUUAGGGGACUAAUUGGACUGCUAAGGGGUUUAAGGGAAGUUAAAGACUUUCUUCUGCACUUACAUUUGGAUCACCUCGAUCCAUGAUAGUCAUUCAGGCAGUAAUGCCUGGACUGGAAACAAGCAAUCCUUAAAAUAAUACAACAUUCCAGCUCCUGUGUUGGAAUGCAAAACAAAUGUGUUGUUUAAAUUAGAGACUGCACUUGUGACAGAACAACAAAUAUUUUAUUUUUAUUAUACAAGUAAUGUAAGUACAAAACAAACUUGUG